Long non-coding RNA from Apodemus sylvaticus (European woodmouse), 766 nucleotides. RefSeq lists it as uncharacterized. The transcript is spliced from 3 exons. NCBI's taxonomy places the organism in Eukaryota, Metazoa, Chordata, Mammalia, Rodentia, Muridae. The record is from RefSeq and is a predicted model, not a curated record.
AGCAAGUUGGGGAGGAAAGGGUUUAUUCAGCUCACACCUUCCACAUUGCUGUUGAUCACCAAAGGAAAUCUGGACUGGAACUCAAGCAGGUCAGGAAGCAGGAGCUGAUUCAGAGGCCACAGAGGUCCACCGAUGGCUUUGGGAAAGGAGUGACUUAAAGCCUCCCCUGCUUCUGCGAUGAACUCCGGACAGGACUGGCUGUGAGCUGUGGACAGCACCUGGCCGUGCUCACCUGCUAAUGGAUCAAUGCCCUAUGGCUCUGACAUCUGCAACAUCCUGGGAUCUGCAUUGCAACUGGACUUCACCUUUACAGCUUCACAAAUAUGUCUUUAGGGGCUCUCUGCAGGAAUCGAGUCUUCAUGAUGCCCUCACUCUCGCAUCUCUCCCAAAUCUAAGCCAAUACUAUGGAUGCUGCUGCCAAAUUUUGCUGUCAGCAGGAGAUGUAGCCUUGCCAACUUGAAAGCACAUAGUAGGACUUUCACAGGAUCUCUCCAGGAGCUGAUGUGAAGAGACAUUUCAUUCACAAGGAAAGAUUAUCCAAACACAUACGUGAGAAGCAAGCCGGUGAAAAUGGAAACCGGCUGCAGCAAUACGCAGCUACAAAGGAGGGUCCUCUUAGAGUGGGAGGCCCUUGGGAGGGAUGGCUACGAGCCACAGCCUUCUCUGACCAUAGCUUUCUAACAAGAAGAGACAGCGUGACAGCAAGACUGAAGGCCUAACAGUGGGAAGUUACAUUAAAGCGAUGACUCCAUAACUUUCUCCUUAC